ACUCAAAUGAAUUGACGGGGGUCUAUACAAGUGGUGGAACAUGUGGUUUAAUGCGAUAAUACGCGCCAUACCUUACCAGUUCUUGACAUACAAAAAGGGUUUUGUAAAAAACCUUUAAAUUUUUGUACAGGUGUUGCAUGGCUGUCGUCAGCUCGUGUUGUGAGAUGUUUGGUUAAGUCCCUUAACGAGCGCAACCUCUAUUUGCUGUUGUACAUAAAUAACUGCAAAAACUGCUUAUUAUACAUAGGAGGAAGGUGGAGAUGACGUCAAGUCCUUAUGGCCCUUAUGAACUGGGCUACACACAUGUUACAAUGGGAAAAACAAAAUGUUACAAUGUUUAAACAGAGUCAAUCAUUAACCUUUCCCUCAGUUCGGAUUGAAAGCUGCAACUUGCUUUCAUAAAGAUGGAAUCACUAGUAAUCGUGGAUCAGGAUGCCACGGUGAAUUUGUACCUGGACCUUGCACACACCGCCCGU
This 476-nucleotide ribosomal RNA is filed under the name uncultured bacterium. RNAcentral's name for it is "partial 16S ribosomal RNA". It matches the Rfam family "Bacterial small subunit ribosomal RNA", at positions 899 to 1397 of the family's 1533-position model. The record is from RNAcentral.